This 465-nucleotide ribosomal RNA is filed under the name Paludella squarrosa. Its description in RNAcentral is "eukaryotic LSU rRNA". The stretch from base 1 to 89 matches the Rfam family "5.8S ribosomal RNA", at positions 65 to 154 of the family's 154-position model. Lineage: Eukaryota; Viridiplantae; Streptophyta; Bryopsida; Splachnales; Meesiaceae. The record is from RNAcentral.
GUGUGAAUUGCAGAAUUCCGCGAAUCAUCGAGUCUUUGAACGCAAGUUGCGCCCGAGGCUUGUCCGAGGGCAUUCCCGUUAGAGCGUCACCGCGCCACCCACCGCUCCGACUCCCAGUCGAUGAAUGAGAGUCGGAGCUCGAGUGGAAUUGGCCGUCCCGACCGGCGCCCGAAAGCCGGUCGGGUCGGCUGAAAUGGAUGGAAUUUGGCCCCGCGGCGACCCGGCCCGCGAUCAGGUGACCCGCGCCGCGAUUGACUUCGCGGUCGCGGUUUUUAUCAAAAGCGCGCGGUUUUAAGGUGUCGUCCCAGAGUCGGUGUUGUUCCGCAGUAAAGCAGGUCUUUUUCCCCCCUUAAAGCCGCCGCCGGGUUCGAGAGGACUCGAGCGGCGGCCCAAGGGGGGGGGAAAAUUAAAACAGAUGGUCACGCAACGGACCUCUAAUCGGGAAAGAUCACCCGCUGAGUUUAA